GUUCUUGCGAUAGCAUUCCUGCAUAGUACGGGAGGAACCGCAGGUACGGCUCAAUGGCACAAUACUUGUUCGAGCGAACAGUGGUAUGACGCUACGUCCGUUGGAUUAUGCCUGAACACCUGUAAGGUCGUAUCCGAGCUGGACUGCAAUGAU
Molecule: non-coding RNA, 153 nt
Filed under: Glossina austeni
Lineage: Eukaryota; Metazoa; Arthropoda; Insecta; Diptera; Glossinidae
Description: eukaryotic large subunit ribosomal RNA
Rfam family: Eukaryotic large subunit ribosomal RNA
Source: RNAcentral